UGCCCCAUGGCUGAGUUGGUUACAGCGUCCGACUGUUACACCAUAGCAAUCGGAAGGUCGUGAGUUCGAGCCUCACUGGGGCAG
Molecule: transfer RNA, 84 nt
Filed under: Polyporus arcularius HHB13444
Lineage: Eukaryota; Fungi; Basidiomycota; Agaricomycetes; Polyporales; Polyporaceae
Rfam family: tRNA
About the family: Transfer RNA (tRNA) molecules are approximately 80 nucleotides in length.
Source: Rfam by way of RNAcentral